AACGCGAGAUGGGUAUAAAUACCUCGCAUCGCUAGGAAACCCAAACCCUAGCCGUCAACCCCGACCGGAGAAGAAGGUCGACCGCCGACCGCCACCGCACCUGGAGACCCCCCCACAUGAAAAAUUCAGAAAACUCGGGACCUGUUAGGAGGCGUAGUAGACAACGCAGCGUCUCGAAACACCGAUCCGGAUAAGGAUCUCUUACCCUAUUUUUCGUUACGAUAAAUU
RNAcentral lists this long non-coding RNA (228 nucleotides) under Carica papaya (papaya). RNAcentral's name for it is "long non-coding RNA (CPAP_LNC005820)". Lineage: Eukaryota; Viridiplantae; Streptophyta; Magnoliopsida; Brassicales; Caricaceae. The record is from RNAcentral.